AUGCUACUUUGUAUACAAAUCUAAAUGGUAACAAGAGCUGAAUUAAGAAAAUCGAAAUCUGAUUUAGUAAGAACAUCCCAUGAGGGUCACCUAAUCUUCAACCGAUGCCAUUGCAUUCCAUUCGGAGAUUAAUGGAGUGACAAAACCUUAAAAACAAUUAGAAUUGUUCUACAUUCUUCAUCUCUGUGCUCUCAUGGCGAGUUAUCGUGAUUUCUUCUGCUGUCUUCUUCUUGCAGCAAGUUGUUUUUCUGCCGGAAUCUCUGCUCAAUCCUAUGACUACUCUGCCAGCGUUGAUUGCCUGGCGGAGCCAUUGCCGCCACAAUACGGCGGAGGCAUGGUGCACGAGCCGAAUUUCGACUCUGGCCUGGCCGGAUGGGGCGUGUUCG
Long non-coding RNA from Andrographis paniculata, 386 nucleotides. RefSeq lists it as uncharacterized. The record is from RefSeq and is a predicted model, not a curated record. NCBI's taxonomy places the organism in Eukaryota, Viridiplantae, Streptophyta, Magnoliopsida, Lamiales, Acanthaceae. The transcript has 3 exons.